This 995-nucleotide ribosomal RNA is filed under the name uncultured bacterium. Its description in RNAcentral is "bacterial SSU rRNA". It matches the Rfam family "Bacterial small subunit ribosomal RNA", at positions 356 to 1376 of the family's 1533-position model. The record is from RNAcentral.
GGGGAAUAUUGCACAAUGGGGGAAACCCUGAUGCAGCGACGCCGCGUGGAGGAAGAAGGUCUUCGGAUUGUAAACUCCUGUUGUUGAGGAAGAUAAUGACGGUACUCAACAAGGAAGUGACGGCUAACUACGUGCCAGCAGCCGCGGUAAAACGUAGGUCACAAGCGUUGUCCGGAAUUACUGGGUGUAAAGGGAGCGCAGGCGGGAAGACAAGUUGGAAGUGAAAUCCAUGGGCUCAACUCAUGAACUGCUUUCAAAACUGUUUUUCUUGAGUAGUGCAGAGGUAGGCGGAAUUCCCGGUGUAGCGGUGGAAUGCGUAGAUAUCGGGAGGAACACCAGUGGCGAAGGCGGCCUACUGGGCACCAACUGACGCUGAGGCUCGAAAGUGUGGGUAGCAAACAGGAUUAGAUACCCUGGUAGUCCACACCGUAAACGAUGAUUACUAGGUGUUGGAGGAUUGACCCCUUCAGUGCCGCAGUUAACACAAUAAGUAAUCCACCUGGGGAGUACGACCGCAAGGUUGAAACUCAAAGGAAUUGACGGGGGCCCGCACAAGCAGUGGAGUAUGUGGUUUAAUUCGACGCAACGCGAAGAACCUUACCAAGUCUUGACAUCCCUUGACGAUGCUGGAAACAGUAUUUCUCUUCGGAGCAAGGAGACAGGUGGUGCAUGGUUGUCGUCAGCUCGUGUCGUGAGAUGUUGGGUUAAGUCCCGCAACGAGCGCAACCCUUAUGGUCAGUUACUACGCAAGAGGACUCUGGCCAGACUGCCGUUGACAAAACGGAGGAAGGUGGGGAUGACGUCAAAUCAUCAUGCCCUUUAUGACUUGGGCUACACACGUACUACAAUGGCGUUAAACAAAGAGAAGCAAGACCGCGAGGUGGAGCAAAACUCAGAAACAACGUCCCAGUUCGGACUGCAGGCUGCAACUCGCCUGCACGAAGUCGGAAUUGCUAGUAAUCGUGGAUCAGCAUGCCACGGUGAAUACGUUCCCG